Small nucleolar RNA from Nannospalax galili (Upper Galilee mountains blind mole rat), 82 nucleotides. RefSeq annotates it as small nucleolar RNA SNORD45. Lineage: Eukaryota; Metazoa; Chordata; Mammalia; Rodentia; Spalacidae. The transcript has a single exon. The record is from RefSeq and is a predicted model, not a curated record.
GGUCAGUGUUGAACUAGCAUGUAUUAUCUGAAUUUACUGAUGUGGAAUAACACCUGUAGCUCUAAAACAACACUGUGGCAAU